Molecule: ribosomal RNA, 253 nt
Filed under: uncultured bacterium
Lineage: Bacteria
Description: partial 16S ribosomal RNA
Rfam family: Bacterial small subunit ribosomal RNA
Source: RNAcentral
UACAGAGGGGGCAGGCGUUAUUCGGAAUUAUUGGGCGUAAAGGGCGCGUAGGCGGCCUGACAAGUGGAAGGUGAAAUCCCUCGGCUCAACUGAGGAACUGCCCUCCAAACUGUUUGGCUUGAGACCGGGAGAGGUGAGUGGAAUUCCCAGUGUAGCGGUGAAAUGCGUAGAUAUUGGGAGGAACACCAGUGGCGAAGGCGGCUCACUGGACCGGUACUGACGCUGAGGCGCGAAAGCGUGGGGAGCAAACGGG